UCAGUAUUAGAUGACUGUGUAUUUCAGAAACAUCAGCCCCUUUCCCAUCUGGUGAUGAAUCUUGAUUCAUCUAGACCAUUCACGGUAUUCUACCUGCCCUUACCAGGCUAUAAGAGACAUGUGAAGCAACCCAGAGAGGGAAUCUGCUAGGAGACUUCUGCAAGAGUCUUCAUCACAUCGUGUUUGAUGGAACAUGAGGAAAACAUAGGCCUCUUCACCUCUUCACAUCUUGGAACCUGAGGAGCCAGUGCAGGUAUGUUUAGAACAUGAGAGGGUGAGCCUCAGAGCAGGCAGAAAUGGCAAAACAGAAGAGUAGAAAAUAUGUGGGUCCUGCCUUACAUCAUUGAGCCAUUGAUUAAUCAAUGCAAGAGCUUCCUUUCUUCUAACAUGAUAAUGAGAGUUAAUACAAAUUUCUACAUUGAAACUAUUCAUUUGCAUUUUCUGUUACAUACACCAAAAGCAUAUCUGCUGGUACAAUGACCAAAAGCAAGAGAAACAAAAGAAAAAUACUCCACACUCAUCCUGGUAGAACGAGCUAAGAAUGUAUACCUUAGAAACAGUUAAGGUUCCCAAAAAGGCCAAUUAGCUUUGACUUGAGUUAUAUAAAUAUCACUCUCCACAAUUUGCCAUUUUCACUAUGAUUCAUUUGCCUAAGGUUAAACUUUAUCCAGUCAUUUCCCCUAAGGUUUUUUUUUUUUAUACUUAUGACCCCUUUCUUGGCAGCUGAAUUUACUCUGGAACAAAAGUCGACAAACUUUUUAUAAAGGGCUAGAUGAUAAAUAUUUCAUGCUUUGCAAGCCAUACAAUCUCUAUCACAACUACUUUAUUCUCUCACUGCAACACAAAAGUAGCCAUCAAUAAUACAUCAAUGAAUGAGUGUGGCCAUUCUCCAAACUUCAUUUAUGAAUACUGGAAUUUGAACUUCCUAUUAUUUUCAGAUAUCACCAAAAUAUUCCUUUUAUUGCUUUCAACCAUUCACAAAUGUAAAAACCACACAAAUGAAUACACAUAAAAUCAGAGUAAAUCUGGAUAAGAUUUGAUGUUAGCAUAUUGUGUUGUAUAGUUUUGUAAGAUGUUACCUACCAUUGGAGAAAAUAGUAAAAAAAUACAUGGGGUCUCUCUAUAUUCUUUUUUUAAAUAGUGGUAAAGUAUACAUAGAAUUUGUGAUUUUAACCAUUUUUAAGUUUAUAAUUCAGUGGCAUUAAGUUACAUUUACUUUUACAUCCAUCUCUAGAACUUUUUCAUUCUUUCAAAAUGAAAUUCUGUACCUACUAAAAAAUAACUCCUCAUCACUCCAUUCCUAAACCCUUUUUAGUCUCUGUGAAAUUGACUCUCCUAGGUGCCUCAUGUAAGUAGAAUCAUACAAUAUUUGUCCUUUUGUUUCUGGUGUGUUUUUUUUCACUUAGCAUGAAAGUUCAUCCAGGCUAUAACAUGUAUCAGGAUUUUAUUCCUUUGUUUAAAUUUUUUUAAUUUAUUUAUUUAUUUAUCUUAAUUAGGUAUGUAUGACAGAAUGCAUUUUGAUUCAUUGUACACAAUUGCUGCAGAACUUUUCAUUUUUCUGGUUGUACAUGAUGUAGCAUCACACCAUAUGUGCAGUCAUACAUGUACCUAGGGUAAUGAUGUCCAUCUCAUUCCACCAUCUUUCCUGCCCUUAUGCCCCAUCCCCACUCCACCCUCCCCUUUGCCCAAUCAAAGUUCUUCCAUUUUCUCCAUGCCACCCCCUCCCCCAUUAUGGUUCAACAUCCACUUAUCAGAGAGAGCAUUCGGCCUUUGGUUAUUGGGGAUUGGGUUACUUUGCUUAGCAUGAUAUUCUCCAACACCAUCCAUUUACCUGCAAAUGCCAUAAAUUUAUUCUCUUUUAAUGAUGAGUAAUAUCCCAUUGGAUAAAAAUAACCAUAGUUUCUUUAUCCAUUCAUCUAUUGAAGGACACCUAGGUUGGUUCCACAAUUUAGCUAAUGUGAAUUGAGCUGCUAUAAACAUUGAUGUGGCUGCAUUACUAUAGUAAGCUGAUUUUAAGUCCUUUCGGUAUAGACUGAGGAGUGGGAUAGCUGGGUCAAAUGGCGGUUCCAUUCCAAGUUUUCUAAGGAAUCUCCAUACUGCUUUCCAGAUUGGUUGCACCAGUUUGCAGUCCUACUAGCAAUGUAUGAGUGUGCCUUCUCCCCCGCAUCCUCGCUAACACUUAUUGUUGUCUAUAUUCUUGAUGAUUGCCAUUCUGACUGGUGUGAGAUGAAGGAUUUUAUUCCUUUUAAAAAGCUGAAUGAUGGGAUUGGAGUUGUGGCUCAAUAGUAAAGCGCUUGCCUCUAACAUGUGAGCCACAGCACCACAUAAAAAUAAAUAAAUAAAGAUAUUGUGUUCAUCUACAACUAAAAAAUAUUUUUUAAAAAAGCUGAAUGAUGUCCCAUUAUAUGCACAGACCAUAUUUUGUUUAGUUAUUCUUCUAGGGCUGAGCUUUGAGUUGUUUCCACCAUUUGGCUGCUAUGAAUAUGCUGUUCUGAACAUUGGUAUACAAAUAUCACUAAGUCCCUGUUUUCAGUUCUUUUAGCUAUAUACCAAUAAGUAGAAUUGCUGAAUACUAUGGUAAUUAUUGCUGAAUAAUAUGGUAAUUCUAUGCUUCAUUUUUUGAGGAAAUACAGUACUGUUUUCCAGAAUGGCUGCACCAUUUUACAUUCCCACCAGCAGUGCACAUGGAUUCCAACUUCUCUACAUCCUUACUAAUACUUUAUUUUUUUGUCUUUUUGGUAUAGUCAUUCUAAUAAAUGUGGAAGUGGUAUUUUAUUGUGCUUUUGAUUUACAUGAUUAUUUAUGUUGAAUUUUUCUUCAUGUGCUUAUUGAUCAUCAAUAUUUCUUUAGAGAAAUGUCUAUUCAAAUCAUUUAUGCAUAUUUAAAUAAUUUUGUUUCUAUUUGUUUAUAAGAAUUCUUUAUAUUUCUGGACAUCAAUCUUAUCAGAUUUACAAAUAUUUUCUCCCAUUCUGUGAAUUAUCUUUUUAUUCUUUUGAUACAUAAAUAUUGUCUUCUUCUUCUUCUUGCUCUUUCUUCUUCUUUGGAUCAAAAUCAGAGUCUCAUGCAUGCUGGGCAAGCUCUCUAACACUGAGCCACAUUCCCCAGCCUACUGAUACACAAAUAUUUUUCAUAUGUUUGAUGAACUGCAUAUUUUUAUAUGCUUGAAAAAGAGCAUAUUUUUAUGUUUGUUCAGGACAGCAUAUUCACAAUAGCCAAAAGGUAGAAACAACUCAAUGCUCAUCAAUGGAUAAACAAAAUAUGGUAAGUGCAUGCAAUGGAAUAUUAUUUGGUCUUUAAAAAGGAAUGAAAGCCUGAUACAUAUUCCAGCCUGAAUGAACCUUAAAUACAUUAUGAUAAGUGAAAAAAAUGAAACGAAAGGUAAAAUAUUGUACAAUUCACUCAUAUGAGGUACCUAGAAGAGUGAAAUUCACAGAGACUAAAAUUGACUGAGAUAAUUUUGAUGAAGGAUCCUUUAUCUAUUUUUCCAUUUCUUAUCACCAUGUGUGCAUCUAUAACUAUCUCAAAUUUUAAUCAAACAAAAUACAAGAACUAUUAUUUGCUCAUGAUCAUAUGAAAAAACAAGUACCACUUGGCUCACAAAGACAUAGUCUGCCAAUGCCUGCUAUGGAAUAGAAAAUGGAGUUAUUUCAACUGUUUUCUUAUAUUCAAAAAGCUCUAUACAAUGUCUCAUCAGCUUCUAACCCACUACCUGGGGCUCAAAAUUUUAAAAUAGUUCGGUAUAUAUAUAUAUAUAUAUAUAUAUAUAUAUAUAUAUAUAUAUGCAUAUGGUUUCAUCUUACUUGUUCCUAAGAUCAAGGGACUUACCAAAAAGUAGCUGUUCCACAUUUGAUUUUAAAAAACCAACAUCCCAUGUUUUUAAGUGCCCCUUGAGAACUUUGCUCUUAACAUGUUUUCAUGCUCUCUAUUGCACUGCAAAUAGCAUUUCAAAAUGGGCCCUUUAAAGUCAUCCACCCUCCCUCCUCUCCUGGGAAUCCUUCUUCCACGUCCUUACACAGACUGUCUGCAGCUUGGCCUCCCACAGCUUCCAGAGGCAGCCACUUCCAGAGCUUAUGGGCUCUAAUGGAUAGCAAGUCCUGAUAUCACUGCAAUUCAAGAACAGUUUUCAAUUCCUUUUUAAAAUUGAGUACAGAGGCUUGCUUACAAAAGGUGCUACGUUAGAUCACAUUCUCCAAAGUUGGUAUGUUGGAUACUUACUCACCAAAUUCACGUGUUAAUGGUGUUUGGCAGCAGGGCCUUUGGGAGGUAUUAGGUUUAGAUGAAGUCAUGAGGGUGGAGUCCCCUGAAAGCAUUAGUGGCUUUAUAAGAAGAGGAAAAGAGACAAGAGCUAGCACACUUACUCUGUUCGGCCUCUGCCAUGUUAUAAUGCAGCAAGAAGACCCUCACCAAAUGCCAGCACCAUGCUUUUGGAUUUCCCAGCCUCCAGAACCAUGAGGUAAAAAAAAAUAUCUAUUCUUCACAAACUACCCAGUCUGUGGUAUUCCGUUAUAUAGUAACAGCAAACAGACUAGGACAGAGGAUUUCAUGAUAAUAAUGUUCUAGUUCUAGAACAAAGAGAUGGCUUCACAUAUCUCCUAUUAUGUUUUAUAAUUUACUUUAAUGCUACAUAAAUUCUUUUUAAAAUAUCAAGCAUUUUAUGAUAAACAUAUUUUAAAAGAAGUAAUUAUUUGUGUCUCUUAUAAAUGUUACUAUAUAAAAGGUGCCAGUGCAAAUCUUCUCAGGGAAAUUCAAAGAGAACAUCUCCAAGGUUAUAACCCCAACCCAAGCUCCGUCAUGAAUUCUCCCAGACAAUUCAACAACCAUCCCACAGUCCCAUAAUUGCCUCCUUCCAGUCCAUUCCCCAUACUGUGAACAGACUGAUCUGCUUAAAAGGCACAAUGUUUAUGCUUCCCUUUUGCUUAAAAUAUUUUAAUAGUCUCUCAUCAUUCUCAGAAUAAAAGCCAAAAUUCUCACAACAACCCACGAAGCCCCACACUAGCCACAUCUCCAGCUUUGUCUUGUUGUCUCCUCUUUAUCCUCCAUGCAAGAGUGCAAGUGCUCCCUCUUCCAGAAUGCUCUGUGUCUACCCCACACACAACUCCUGGCCAAGAGCUGUGUUUUCACUUCUCUGGGGUAAAUAGGUAGGAGUGAGAUUAUUACAUAUAUGUUUAACUUUAUAAGAAACUGCCAAGUUGUUUUUUCCCAAAUGCCCCAUUUUGCAUUUCCCUCAGUAAUAUACAAAAGUUCUAGUGUUACAGUCCUUGCUAGCACGUGGCAUUGGUAGCUUUGUUAUAUGCUAUAUGUUUAACGAAGCGAAGAGUAGUAUCUGAUUAUGAGGUUCUGCUAAGAUGCAUAGAGGAUGAGUUAACUCCUUUGAUCUCGUUUCAGUGAGAGUUCUCUGGUCUGUUAUCUCCCCCUCACCCUCCAGCCUUCAUGGUAAUAACCUUUAGCCAAGCUGCCAUGAAAACACAGGGGGAUUUAACAUGCUUAACCACAGAGAUUGUUUUUCAGACUGAAUUGAUAAAAGUACAGCAGCUUCAAAGUCUUACCUUACCGUCUCUACCGAGCACAGUCUUACUUACCCCUGACCAUGACUUCUUUGUAGGAAUCAAAGUGGUGAGUGUGAAGGUUACAUGUAUGGAAAUGUCACAAAGGGCAUAGUCACAGAGGGUGAGAGACUUCCGGGAACGGAAAUACUUCUGAAAGUUGGUUAACAUAUUUUCCAGAUCAACUGGUAGUUUAACUCUGCAGAAGACUACCGAUAAACUCUUUUUUUUUUUCCAUUAACCCAUCACUACCUGUUGGUAGGCACUGGGAGCCACAGGUACCUUUAACAGUUGUACUUUGGGAUAUUGAGUGUGAGGGUGUUAAUGUUAUACCCCUUAAAAGGUUGACAUGCAAAUUGCUAGGAGGGCUUUGCAAUUUGCUUUUGAUUUCAUCAGAAUACUCCAGUGAGAAUGUUUUUGACUAAUAGAGUAAAAGAAGGCUGGCUCUGGAGCUAGCCUUUGCUAAGGUAGCAUUAAUGAGUCAACAGAAGCUAUAAAUAGGACUUGGCAUGAACUUCUGUCCACAAUUACACCACUAUUCCCACAAAGAGAGAUGUUACUAAUGAAAAACACAGCCUGCUAGCCACUACUAAAACCAAAGGCUAUACAAACAGCCCUGAAGUCUGAUUUACCAAGAUGUCAUUGUGUGUUUCUUGGUGACCCUUAUGGGUUGUGAAGCAGUUGUAUUGUUUUCCUUAAGGAUCAUCAAUGGGUGUACCAGCUGCUUGUCAAAUUCUCUCCUGGUGAUAAAUCCCAGACAAAAAUUCCUUGACUCGGUCAUUUAUCUUUUUAACUUUAACUUUGUUUCUUUCCUUCUCCUUCCCAGCACAUAGUACAUAUAUCAGAUAGUACAGUGCAAGUGCACACAGGAGAGUUCCAUAAUUAUUCUUGGAAUGGAUGAACAGAUGGACAAAUGUGAAUGUUAACUCUAUACUUCUGCAUUAUACCUGGAAUUUUGAAAAAAAAAAAAAUAUAUAUAUAUAUAUCCAUAUAUUCUAGUAAAUUCCUCAUAUAAUAUGUAUUGAAAUGGUUCCUUUUUCAAAAAAUAUCUCUACCAACCACUCUACCAUUUUUCUUUACACCCUUCCCUGAGAAAAUAAAACGUUAUCUGGAAGCAGUGAAAGGGCAGCAUGUUAAGACCCCACCAUUCACCACAGCCAAGGUCCAGUUUUCCACUACCUCUGAAAGACAGGAGACAGGAGAAGUAGGGUUUAGAAAAGAGAAGUGUUCAGAAAUGGUGGAGUACAUGAAGUUCUACUAGUGUAGACAACCAGAGCCCUUCACUCUGGGGGUCUCUAAAGGCACCAGAUUCUAAAGAAAGAGGUCCAGAAAAGGAAACAGAGGUAGCAAAUUAUCUUUGUUGCAAGUUUGUCUGGUUGUCUUGUGGGCCCAUGGCCAAGUUCUUGUAUAUGCCCUAACCCUGAGUCAGAGAAAGCAAGGAAAGUUGGGAAGAUGAGUUGUGCAUAGCAAACUGCAGUAUUUCCUCUUGCUCGUGUUCUGAUGCAAUCUAAGUAGACAGUGGACAUUCACUUUUCCUUCCCCACAUCAGAUAUCAUAAACAAUAGCCUUCCUCCAAGGCCACCCUCCAUCUCUGCUGUAAAGUACAAUCCUUUUGCAAUGUGUAGACUAAUCUAUCUGAAGAGACUCUGUUCUAGGGAUCGAAGAAAAAGAAGAGAUUCCAUUGGUAUGCAAGACCAGUAUCCUCUGAAACUAGUAAUAAGAAGUCCAAACAAUGUCUUCUUCAGAUUCUAAGACUCAGUUCUGUUGAGACGUGCAGGACUUGAGAUGUUGCCUGCUUUUCAAAAGGGCUCCCCACCCCCCACUGCUAUAGUUGUGUAAGAAAAUGCAGAGAAACAGAGCUCAACUCUGAGCUUCAACUUCCAGCCCCCUUCUCCCUUUAGCUCAUUCUCUCAUCCUCAAAGUUGCAAAGAGCACAUAGAUUCCAGAAAAAGAACGUAUUCAUGUAUAACGAUUCUCAGAUUGGGCAAGUGGCUAAAGUUUGAAGUGAUUCAGAAAAGACAAAAUCAGAAGAUAUAAGAAUAUAAACCAUCAAGGGUGGCAAAGCAUGAAGGAAUAUUAGAAUGACGAAUGGAUUUCCAUAGACCCAGGGAAUACUCUCUCUAUUUCUCUGCUUCAGUCUUUAAAGAUAAAGGAAAUAGUUCAGAACUAAGAUCUCACAUGUUACUGUCCUAUGCUCUUUUUACCUUACUGGUCUACCUCAUAAGGACAUCUGACUAGUUUUACUCAUCUCUGAAGACCUGUCCAUGCUCUGACAUAGUUAAGGUUAUGAAUAUAAGGUCUUCCCAGUAUAUCUUGAGCCAGUUAAUGAAGUUUAAUCUAUUUGAAUGCUGCAAUAAGUAGUUUCAUCUUAGGCAUGGUGGUACACACCUGUAGUCCCAGCUAUUGGGAGGCUUAAUACAUAAGUAUCACUUGAGUGUGUGAGUUCAAGACCAGCCUAGGCAACAUAGUGAGACUCAUUUUCUAAAAAAAGUUGAUUUACAUUGAUAAAUUGUAAAAAUAUGGUUACAUGGUUUACUUAAGGUUUGGAUAUUAGAUUAUGAGCUGUCCUCUAGAAACUAUGUUGAUGCAGGAAUGUUUGGAGAUAAAAUGAUUGGAUUAUGAGAGCUGUAAUCUAAUCAGUCCAUCCUACUUUGCAUGUACUGACUAAUAAGUGUAGACAGAUGGGGCAUGGCUGGAGGAGGUAGGUCACUUUGGGCAUGCCUUAGAAGAGUUCAUCUUCCCAAUGGUCCUUCACCCUCUCCCCUCUGCUUCCUGAUUCUGUCAGGAGCUGAGCAGCUGUCUUCCGCUGGACCCUUCUGCCAGGAUGUACUGUUUCAUCUUGGGCCAGGAGCAAUGGAGUGGACCACAUACAGACUGAGAGUUCUAAAACCAUGAGCCCCAAAUAAACUUUUCCUUUGCUAAGUUGUUCUAGUCAGGUAUUUUGGCCACAGAAACAAAAAGCUGACUAACACAAAUAUGAACUGAUAUCCAGUGGAUCCUGGACAUCCAAAAGGAUUCUUAAGAUUGUCUCUACAGACUCUAUGGUUAGUCUGUACUGGAUGAUCUUAUGGUGACUUUAGAACUUUCUUAAGAAAUGAAUUAUACUUCAUCUUUUCAUCAGAUUAAUCUUAAUCAGAUUAAUAUAGAAUUCAUUUCCUUGAUGAGGAUAGAUGUAAAACAUCACACUUAACAACCGAUUUUUAAGAUUAACCAAAAAAACAAUUUUGUGGUAAGUCUGACAAUCAUAACUAGUGUAGGUCAUAUUGGUUAUUUUCAUAAAAUUAGAUGCCUAGUUUAUAGAAACAAAACAAGAGGCUAACUUGGCCAUGAUCCAAAGUGAAUCAUGAGCAUAUUUUUUAAAUUCUUUUAUUUAUUUUAAGUAGUUAUACAUGACAGUAGAAUGAUAUAUGCACUUUUAUAUAUCAUGAAAUCUUUGAAUACUUUUGAUUUGCAUUUCUCUAAUUGCUAGAGAUGUUGAACACUUUUUCAUAUAUUUGUUGAUCAAUUGUAUUUCUUCUUCAGUGAAGUGUCUGUUCAGUUCCUUAGCCCAUUUAUUGAUUAGGUUAUUUGGGGUAUUUUGUUUUGUUCUUUUUUGGUGUUAAGUUUUUUGAGUUCUUUAUAUAUCCUAGAGAUUAAUGCUUUCUCGGAGAUGUGUGUGGUAAAGAUUUUCUCUUAAUCUGUAGGCUCUCUCCUCAUGUUAUUAAUUGUUUCCUUUACUGAGAAUAAGCUUUUUAAUUUGAAUCCAUCCUAUUUAUUGAUUCUUGAUUUUAGUUCUUGCGCUUUAGAAGUCUUGUUAAGGAAGUCAGAUGCUAGGCCGACGUUGUGUGGAUUUGGGCCUAUUUUUUCUUCUAUUAGGUGGAAGGGUCUCUGUUCUGGUGCCUAAGUCUUUGCACCACUUUGAGUUGAUUUUUGUGCAGGGUGAGAGAUAAAGGUUUAAUUUCAUUUUUUUACAUAUGGAUUUCCAGUUUUUCCAGCACCAUUUGUUGCAUAGGCUAUCUUUUCUCCAGUGAAUGUUUUUGGCACCCUUAUCUAGUAUGAGAUAACCUUAUUUAUUUGGGUUUGUCUCUGUGUCCUUUAUUCUGUACCAUUGGUCUACAAGUCUAUUUUGGUGCCAAUACCAUGCCAUUUUUGUUACUAUAGCUCUGUAGUAUUAAGGUUAAGAUCUAGUAUUGUGAUGCCUCUUUCUUCACUUUUCUUGCUAGGGAUUGAUUUAGCUAUUCUGACUCUCUUAUUUUUCCAAAUAAAUUUCAUGAUUGCUUUUUUCUAUUUCUAUGAAGAAUAUCAUUGGGAUUCUAAUAGGAAUUGCAUUAAAUAUGUAUAAUGCUUUUGGAAGUAUGGCCAUAUUGAUGCAAAAAUUCUCAAUAAAAUUCUGGCAAAUUGCAUACAAAACCAUAUUUUUUUAAAAAAAGAGUGCACCAUGAUCAAGUUGGAUUCAUCCCAGGGAUGCAGGGUUGGUUCAACAUAUGGAAAUCAACACACGUAAUUCAUCAUAUAAUAGACUUACUUAAAAACAAGAAUCAUAUGAUCAUCUCAAUAGGUUUAGAAAAAGCAUUUGACAAAAUACAGCACACCUGCAUGUUCCAAACACUAGAAAAAUUACGGAUAGUAGGAACAUACCUCAACAUUGUAAAAGCUAUCUAUGCUAAAUCCAAGGCCAGCAUCAUUCUAAAUGGAGAAAAAUUGAAAGCAUUCCCACUAAAAACUGGAACAAGACAAGGAUGUCCUCUUUCAUCACUUCUAUUCAACAUCAUCCUUGAAACUCUAGCCAGAGCAACUAGACAAAAGAAAGAAAUUAAAGGGAUACAAAUAGGUAAAGAAGAACUCAAACUAUCAAACUUGCUGAUGACAUGAUUCUAUAUCAAGAAGAUCCAAAAAAUUCCACCAGAAAAUUUCUAGAACUAGUAAAUGAAUUCAGCAAAGUAGCAGGAUAUAAAAUCAACACCCAUAAAUCAACCGUAUUCCUAUACAUCAGCCAUGAAUCCACUGAAAGAGAAAUUAGGAAAACUACACUAUUCACAAUAGCCUCAAAAAAAAAAAAAUACCUGGGAAUCAAUCUAACAAAAGAGGUGAAAGAGCUCUACAAUGAAGACUAUAAAACACUAAAGAAAGAAAUUGAAGAAAAAUUCAGAAGAUGGAAAGAUCUCCCAUGCUCCUGGAAAGGCAGAAUUAAUAUUGUCAAUAGCAUAUUUGACAAUAGAUAUUUUGGAGAAUCCUGGACCACAGAUGUUUGUGAAAAGUUACAACUAUGAACAACUUAUGAAGAUAGUGUAUAGGUGUUUACAUGUAUAAUCACACUGCUCCAGUCCAGAAGAAAUUGGAUCCAGGCCUAUGGUGAUCCUUCAGGGUUCUGGUUAGACCUGAGCAGAGAUGAUGACCUCAGAAUUCUGGGCCCAUCCAAACCAGGAGCAACCAGACAUAAGCUACAGACUUACCUGUUAACCUCCCAAAACUUUUAAGAUUCCUUCAGUUUUCUAAGGAAAAUUCAAUUUGCUACAGAUUUGCAAGAUUGGACCAUAACUCAAGAGACUGAGAACAGUGUAGACAUCUUUUUACAUGAAACCCAGCAAGAUAUAGCCUCCACAAUCAGAGCUUUCAAAUAUUAGAAUCACCUGGGAGCAUGUUUUUAAAAACUGAGAUAAAAUGAAUAUGACAUAAAGUAACCAUCAACCAUUUUACAGAGUAUAAUUCAGUGGUAUUUCAUACAUUUAUAAUGCUGUGCAACCAUUACUUGUAUUUCCAAAACAUUUUAUCACUCAAAAGACAAUCCUUAUCCAUUAAAAAAUUGCACCUGGGGAGCAUUUUAAAAGUGCAUAUUCCAAGGCCCAGACCCAAGAGAUUGUAAUUCUGAGAGCAUGGAGAUGUUUUUCAAAACUUCCGGGUAUCUCAUUCUUAGAUAUUUACCCAAAUGGAAUGAAAACAUGCCCGAACAAGGAAUUACACAUGAAUGGCUAUAGUAACUUUAUUCAUAAUUACCCAAACCUUGGGUAACCCAAACUUCUCUCAAUUAGAUAAUAUAUAAGCAAACUGAUAACAUCCAUAUAAUGGAAUAGUACUUAGCAAUUAAAAGGAACCAACAUGGAACAAAAGUGAAAUCUCCAGUGUAUUAUACAAAGACAUAGAAAUCUAUUUUCCAUACCAUAUUCCAUUACAUGGCAUUCCGGAAAAUAUAAAACUAUAGCAAUGGAGAAUAAACAGGUGGUUUCCAGAAUUUAAGGGUAGCACCUAGGUUUUGAGUAUAAAAUGAUAGCACGAGGGAAGUUUCAGAGCAAUGAAGCAACUGUUCUACAUCUUGGCUAUAGUGUGGUAGCAAGGAUUUGUCAAAACUCCAACUUGAUAUCAAAAAGAGUGAAUUUUACUAGAUUUUAGAAUGUUAAGGUAAAUUCCAUGUGUUUCUGAAUGGGCAACCUCUCUGGGGAACACGUGCAUAAAUAAUGCUGGACAAACUAGUUAUUUUAUAACCCAGGCAAGUUACACUUUGGACACUUGGAAGCCAUCGAUUUGCCAUUACUAGUUCUCUGGUUGUCCUCAUAGCAUUUGGAUGUUUUUCACAGUCUAGAAGUACAAAAGCAGGCUGCCGAGCUAUAGCUUGGUGUGGCCUGGGCUGCACUGUGGUUUUGUUUUAGUGUUUGUCAAACGGAAACCACCACCAAACAUGGUAAAUUUAGAACUUUUUCUAAAAAUGAGUUAGACUGUCUCCUCAUCAGAUUAAUUUUAAUCAUAUUAACAUGGAAGUCAUUUUUUGAUGGGGAUAGAUGAAGACAAAAGAUAAAAUAUCGAGGUUAACAACUGAUUUUUAGGAUUAACUCCACAUCAGAAACCUAAACUCAGCAUUUAAAAAAAAAUUUGUUUUAGUUGUUGAUGGAUCUUUAUUUUAUUGAUUUAUAUGUAGUGCUGAGAAUUAAACCUAGUGCCUCACACAUACUAGGCAAGUGUUCUACCACUGAGCCACAACCCUAGCCCUAAAUUGAGUGGUUUGGAUAUGGUAAAUCUGAUGAUCCAAACCAAUUCCAGUAUAGGUCAGUUUUGUUAUUUUCAUAAAAUUAGAUGCCUUUUAUGCAUGUGUGUUGGAGAAAAGAAUAUUGGGAAUUAAACUGAGGGCGCUUUACCAUCACUGAGCUACACCCCCAGUCCUUUAUUUUUUUAUUUGAGACAAGGUCUCAUUAAGUUACCAGGUUGACCUUGAAGUUGAAAUCCUUUUGCCUCAGCCUCCAGAGUCCCUGGGAUUACAGGUGUGCACCACCACACCCAGCUAGGUAUCUUUUCUAUAGGAAAGAAAAUAAGAGGUUUACUUGGCCAGAGACCAAAAUGAGUCAAAAGCAUAUUUGACAAUACACGUUUUUGUAAAAUCCAGGACCCCUUUAUUUGUGAAAAUUUACAACUAUGGAAAACGUAUGAAAAUAGUGUGUACAUGUUUAUGUAAUUAGUCUCAACAAUUCUAAGUCUAACCCUGCAUAAAUCGACCUCACUUAAAAAAAAAAAAAAAGCCAUAUCCUGCUGUGGCUGAUCAUACCCUGAAAACUAAAUUUCAAAAUAACAUGGCUAAAACUCAAAUUGAAAUUCCCAGGUAUAAGAAGAAAAUAAACAAGAAAUAGGCACAACUUAAGAUAAAGAUAAUUUCAACUGUGGAACUCAGAAAAUGAGCAAACAAACAUGUCCCCAUGCAAGGAAGUAGGUCCUGCUGAGGUUUCUAUCCUGUUAAUCCAUAUUUUCUAAUUUUCAAUUCUCUUUGCUGGCCCUAGUCUCCAGUGAUUUCUGUUAAUACUAUAGCUUUGCUUCCUCAUCACUUUGCAAAAGAUAGCAAAAACUCCUUCUCUAAGACUUUCUGUUCACAUUGCUUCUUUUUUUAGAGCUGCUUGUGCCUGAGAGGAAACGGAGCUACGAGUGUUUCCUUUCCAUUCAAAACUGGCACUUUUUGUAGUGGGGGAGGUAGCUAAGGGUUUACAGUUUGUUCCCAACAGAUUGAGAUAGCACCAAGUUUUCCUAUAAGCCUCUCUGGAGGCCCUUGUGUUACAAAUUAUUUAUAAAUUUUAUCAAAACCUCCAGGAAGCAAGCUGGGCAAACUCUCCCAAUGCCAGAUGGCUCAGCAGACUUGAGAUAUUGCUGCUCUAUUGCAUGUCCCUGCUUCUGUUGCUCCAGACCCAAAAACACAUCCAAUGAGCGAGUGCAUGGAAAGCACUCACAGGUUCUCAUGCAAAGUUCCUCUCCACAGAGGAAUGUACAGGGGAAAAAAUAAUUGGACCUAUCUAAAGCUUAGAACAAUGAUAACAGACCUCCAAGUUUCCCACCAAAACACCUCCAGGUGGAAAGGAAUAUGUACAGCCCCAAGGACUAGACCAUAGCCAGAUAUUCUACUUAAUUAUAUGUAUCUGUGGUUUAAAAACAAAAAUGAUAUCGGGGUACUUGUGCAAACUUAAUAAUAGUAUACAAUGACUCUUUCAGAAAUGUUGCUAUAUUUAUUGUGUGAACCAGAAUUCUUUGGGUUGUAAGUGAUAGACCAUAUUUUGAACUAGCUUAGAGGGAGAAGGGCACUUGUCAGCUCCUAUAAACAGAAAAGACAAGAUGAUUCAAGGGAUGGAGAGUACUAGUACAUUUAUCCCCUCUGCCUCUGGUUUCUUCUUCCCACAAGGGGAAGGUUGAGGGGCCCAUAUUUCAGUUUCUCCCUAAAAAAGGAAAGAACUGCUGCAACACACACACACACACACACACAUCAAUCAUAUUUGAAGACUUAGACUGCACUUCCAAGUGAUGGAGUACAAAAGGACAAUUCCCACAAAAGAAGGGAAGAACACAGACAUGGCCUCUGGGGGAAAAAAAAUUGGCACUAAGAUCGGAUUAUUUUUAUCUUGGGGCUUCAUGUAUUUCCAAGCAUGAGGCCUUAGAAUUCCAAAAAUAUAUUUAUGUCAGUUUGAGAAGCACAGAUACAUGUGUCAUAUAGGCCUCAGAAGGCCUCGGGUUUGAUGCUGUGUGAAGAAUUUUCUAGUGAGGAGCUGUCUUGUUCUUUGGUAAAACAUUUAGAUGGACAGUGAGACCCUUAGGAGCCUGUGGGAGACAAGGCAGUGAGAAAGAAUUUGAAGCCUUCUGUUAGAAAAUAUUAACAGAAAUGUCAGCAUAGGAGAAGAGAUAAAAAGAAGGAAGAUAUAAAGUGGAGGAAAGAAGAGAAGUUGGCACGAGUCUGUGAAUUACAUUAAAAAUUCCUAGUAGCAAAGUAACCAAGAAAUUCCUAAAUACUAGGAGAUAUAAUGUUAAAUUUGAGGCUGUGUUGCUACAAAAUAAAUUCUGUAACAGUGAUAAAUUACAAAACCCAUUUUCUUUCCUUUCUGGGCUCAAAACUAGUCUACAUUUCCCAGCUUCCUUUGAAGUUAGAUAUAGUCAUAUGACUAAUUUUAGCCAAUGGGGUAUAGGCAGAAGUGAUAUGUGCUACCUCCAGACCUGGCCAAUAUAGCUUCCACAUUAUCCUCUACUCUGUUCCUUUUCCUAUAGAAUCAAGUGGGGGACUCCAUAUCCUAGAAAAUGCUGGAGCCACUGAGAGGAGUUCUUUGAAGAACUAGGCUCUUCAAGCCUCUUCUACUUCCCGUUGACUA
RNAcentral lists this long non-coding RNA (15124 nucleotides) under Marmota monax (woodchuck). Lineage: Eukaryota; Metazoa; Chordata; Mammalia; Rodentia; Sciuridae. The record is from RNAcentral.